Molecule: long non-coding RNA, 857 nt
Organism: Lagopus muta (rock ptarmigan)
Lineage: Eukaryota; Metazoa; Chordata; Aves; Galliformes; Phasianidae
Exons: 3
Source: RefSeq, a predicted model, not a curated record
CAGGUAACAAGCUGAAGACAUUUCCAACAACACAUCCUGUUAAUCCUCCAAUAGUGUGCAAAUCCAAGCCUCCGCUAUGCCAUACAACUCCUCAAAGAUGGACACAUCCAAUUACAGGAAGUUUUAGAUAACAAUCUACAAGUCACACAAGAACGGAGGCUACAACUACAGGGCAGAAAACCAAUGGCAGCAGAGAAACAUGAUCAAGGAAACUUACUUCAUGUGCAUCCCAACCAUAGCUUGCACAGUAAUAUCAUCUGUAUAUCAGCUGUCAUGCACUGACAACUACAACAUUGAACCAAAGACUUUGUGCUUACUUGAGUUUAAGAAAGGCAAUAAGGACCUCAGAUGAGAAGAUACAGAUCUUUACAGAGAUGGUUGCUAGACUUCCACAAAAUUAAUUGACCUCAUCUAAUUGAAAUUGAGAAAGACAGGUCUGGAAAGCAUUUUAAAAGAUGCAGUCCCUCCUGGGAAGGACUCAUUUAGCACACAUUUAUAGCUAGUAAUUGUCUAAAAUGUUUUAGUGACACCACAAUGUAGCCUCCUUCCCGAAGUAUUUUUUCCCCAGGAGAUGAUGUCAAGAAGAAUCUUUCCUAAAUCUCUCUAUACAAAAAACAAACAAACAAAAUCUCAUCACUUUAUUAUUAUUAAAAAAAAAAAAAAAAAGUGGUGGGGAAUGGAAAACAAGCUAUGCAUAGGCCUGUUUAAUAUCUUUUUAUCCUGCUUACUUACUGAUGUCAUUUAUAUCACUUAAGACAUCACUGCUACAUAAGAGUUCAAACUCACAACCACCAAGCUGUGUAUCUAUGUGAUAUGCACAAGUCUCUUAAAAUCAUAAUUAAUAAGCUUGCCUUUUA